GCUGCUGGAAGCCUUUUUUCACCCACACUGUUGUACUGAAGUUUUGACCUCCACUAGAGGGCGACAUUAUCAAGUAGGCGGUGCACUACUUCUGCACUGUGUUCAACCAUUGUGUCAAUAAUAACUGCUGCUGUGAAGAGAACAAUUCUCAGACUGAAUGUUGAACAGCAGCUAGUUUCUCCUAUUGAUUUAAACCUUGUUGUAGAGAUGGAACAUUGGCUGUGGAUUAUUCUUGCUGCUCUUUUCUUUGAGUGUAAAGGAGAAGAGAGUGUGAUCCAGCCAACAGGAGAUGUCAUUGCUACUGAAGGAGACACAGUUACACUUGGCUGUACAUUUGAUACCAGUUACACAGGUCUCACUUUGUUCUGGUACAAACAGGAUGGAAACAGCAGCCCCAAAUUCAUACUGAGCCGAAUUAAACGGGACGAAGGGAUCACACCAGACGAGUUUAAGGAGAGAUUUUCAUCCACACUGGAUUCCACCUUAAAAUCAGUUCCUCUGAAGAUCCAGAAGCUUCAGCUGUCUGACUCUGCUGUGUACUACUGUGCUCUUCAGCCCACAGUGACAGGAAACACCAAGACUCUGUACAAAAACCUUAGGAGAAAAGACAACAUAAUACUCCACAACGUCCACUAGAGGGAGUCACACACUGUUAAUCAGAAUCAGAAAUACUUUAUUGAUCUAUUUAUGAUUGGUGAUAGGUUGUUUAGUUUAGUUUCCUUCUUUUUCUAGCUUUCUUUAUGACUCAUUGAAUUCUUUCUUUGUAAAACUGAAACAAAAUAUAUAAACCACAGACUGUAUGAAAUAUAAGUGUGGUGGGUCCUGCCAUGCAGUGCCUGACACUGCCGCCUCCCAGCUAAUACUAAAGUGGGUGGAUGGGUGGAGCUAAGGUUGGCCGAAUGAAGCCUGGUUGCUGAAACCAGCCACCUGUGAAUUAAAGCAGCCACGCUCUUAAUUAUGCAUAACUUUAAGUCUUAAUAUCUUAAUAUAAUAUAAACGGGUGAGUUAUAUAAAAAUUCACCCCCUCACAGUUGUCAUGAAGGGGGGAAUUAGCUUUAGAGGCCAAAAACCAUCUUUUGUACCAGGUUGUAAACAUGUUUAUUUCUGCUGUAAAGUUGGACAUUUUUUACAUGGGGGUCUAUGGGGAUUGACUCACUUUUGGAGCAUCAAAUGGCCAUUGGAGGAACUGCAGGUUUUGGCACUUGGGAGGAUGCCGCUUGAGAUAUACAAUAUACAGCUGAGUACAAUUAGUUGUCUGCGUGGUUAU
This is a non-coding RNA of Siniperca chuatsi (mandarin fish), 1267 nucleotides long. Lineage: Eukaryota; Metazoa; Chordata; Actinopteri; Centrarchiformes; Sinipercidae. The record is from the annotation of a RefSeq genome assembly.